UUUUAAGUAGACAAUGCCAUUAAAACUUGUAAAUGUUAUCAGAGUGAUGAAAACAAGGCAUCUAAUAAUAGAGAAAAGCAAAAAGAUGAUCAAAAAGCUUGCUGGCCUCACACCGAAAGUCACCUACAAAUCCCCUAAAACAAAGUCUCUGCCCCUUCUUUCUCGCUCUCAGUUUCACCCUCCACCUAAAGAAGGUAAGACUCUGGUUUGCUGCUUCCCCAAUAGAUAUAUAUGUAUUGUAUUAUAUAGGAUGACCAAUGCUUCACAUCUCAUCAAUACUUCUCUUAUCUCCUAUAUUCCUUUCUGUAUAGAAAUGAAACUCGGGCACUCUUAUUUUGCUCUUUUCUCCUUCUUCGUUUUCAUUACUCUUCCCUCCUUAAUCUCAUCCCAGGCCUGCCAGAAUUCCUGUGGCAAAAUACCCAUCAGGUAUCCAUUUGGUACUGGCCUUGGUUGUGGCGAUCCACUAUUCCAAAUUUAUGUAACUUGCAAUCAAGACAAG
This 499-nucleotide unclassified non-coding RNA is filed under the name Hevea brasiliensis (rubber tree). The record is from RNAcentral. Lineage: Eukaryota; Viridiplantae; Streptophyta; Magnoliopsida; Malpighiales; Euphorbiaceae.